Non-coding RNA from Triticum urartu, 2038 nucleotides. The record is from RefSeq and is a predicted model, not a curated record. NCBI's taxonomy places the organism in Eukaryota, Viridiplantae, Streptophyta, Magnoliopsida, Poales, Poaceae.
UGUAUUGUUUGAUUCGGAGGCUAACAAUAACUUUUGACCAACUAUUGGGAGACCACUAUCUUAUCUUAGAAACAGAAGUAUUAUUAACUUUUGACAAACUAUUGUUAAGUACACUAUUGGGAGUCUUGAGCCAUGUUUGUGUUGUUAGGGGCAUGAAUUUUUUUUCUCCCGUUGCAACGCAUGGGCAUAUAUUAGGUGGCAUCGCUGGUCCGUGUAAAACGGGUUUAAACUUGGCGAAGCUAUUGAACAACACUCUUGCUUUCUUCUGUUAGGACCCUUUAUCAAUCAUUGAGCCACGCCAAGUUUUUGAGAUGGUAAUGAAGCCUGCCACAUUAAAUUUGUCCCUCCCCUUGGUUCUUUGUUAUUUAUUCUUUUGAAUUCCUGAAUUUUCUCUGCAAAGUAAGUCUUGCUUUGCCAGAAGAUUGAACUGUUUCUUUUCAGCUACGAUCAUCUAAUCUCAUAUAUGUGUUCAUUUGAACUUAUUUACUCUUUUGACUGUUGAUUUGGUUUGCUUUGCCUGAAGAUUGAACUGCUUCUUUUUACUGUUGAUUUAUGAACUCCAAGUACUGAUGUGCAUAAUUAAGCAUUUGUUCAUCAGGUGUCAUUGUAUAUGGACAAGUCUGCAGGGGUUUGCCAGUCGGACUUCCAUGAUUGCAAAUUGUCGUUCCUGCAAAUUAUAUGUGAUCACGAUCUUUUUGUUGAGAUGACUGACCAGCAAUAUUGUUCAGAGACUUUGGUCGUCCUCCACAGCGGGAUGCGACCUCCCUGGAGCAGCGGGUCAGGCGCAUCAUCGGAGGGGGAGAAGAUCUUGUUAUCUACAACAACGUUGAGUGAACCGCCGUCGAACUGAAGCGCGCCUCCUAUAGCUGCGACCCUGUGUUGGCCCUGCCCGCGUACGUCCGCUAAGACCGGAAACAGAGCAGAAAAGGAGUUCAAAUGUCCUCUCUCUGUUUUUCCUCCCUCUAGGAGGGCGUUGCCGGAGCAGUUAAGCCAUGCGGAGGUUUGAAAAUGGCACAGGAGGCGGCCUAAGGGUGGCAUGGCGUACAAUCCCUCUACUGUCAUUUUAUAUCUCUGAAUUUUUUUGGCUGCAUGCGCAGGUGUUUCAGGCAGAAACAGUAAUAGCAUUGACUAGGAGGAGCAAGACAAGAAGCAACGACAACUACCAUUGCUGGCUAAGCUACCUACUACGAUGCCCGCCUCUCUUUGCAAUGGCCAAAGCACACAACAAUGCACAGUUUGGUGAAUUUUCCCCCCACUUUGGUGACAUGGGACGGGUUGUGGGCAACAGCAUUUUAGAAGAAUCGGUAGUAGAAACGUGAAUGUUAAAGCCAAUGGGUUAGAAAACUAUAAGGAUACUUGAUUUGUUUUCAUGUCUACCUUUCAGUAUUCAGCCUUGCGAGAAAAGGUGCCGCAGGAUAGAAGCUUGACAUAGGUGAAUCAGAAUUCAAAAGAUCAAUGGAAGUUUGCUUAUGAAAGUAAAAGAUCAAUGUACUAAUGCAUUUCAAGUUUCCAACACGAGAGACUUUCUGAUGUUUUAGUGACCAGGUAUUAUUGAUCUUGAGGUGUGUUAUUGAUCUCCGUUACUAAAUAGAUGGUAUUUUUUGUUACUUUGUGAAGAAGCAUUGCAUGCAAGACACCAUAGAAAAAAACUGCUGCCCCUGAUGCUUCCUCGCGGAAUCGCAGCUUGAUGGGGCUUGCUGCGCCUCUGGAACACGCAACCGCUAACAAAGAGCAGCUUGAAGGUUUGAACAAAUGUACGUAUUGAAAUUUAGAGUUCCAACAGUACAUAUGUGCAAGAGUGUAAUGUUCACUUGGAACUUGCUCGUGGUGGAGACGUUCCACACAAAAAAAGUGAAGACGACCUGAAACUUCAUGAGAUAAUUUAGUAAUUCGGUCUGGUCAGUACAUUUCUGCAUAAACAAAAAAAAAUCCAAUCAAAGCACAUUGGCUUAUGCUGUUUUUUGUGUGUGGGAGUUUUAUGAUGUAUUUUUUGUUAGUACAUCAUUUCAUUAAUGAUAUUGGAUGAGGGGAAUAAAAA